Molecule: transfer RNA, 75 nt
Filed under: Bacillota bacterium
Lineage: Bacteria; Bacillati; Bacillota
Also listed under: 8 other names
Description: tRNA-Thr
Rfam family: tRNA
About the family: Transfer RNA (tRNA) molecules are approximately 80 nucleotides in length.
Source: RNAcentral
GCCGAUGUGGCUCAGUGGCAGAGCAGCUGAUUCGUAAUCAGCAGGUCGGCGGUUCAAAUCCGCCCAUCGGCUCCA